This 6286-nucleotide long non-coding RNA is filed under the name Nicotiana benthamiana. RNAcentral describes it as "long non-coding RNA (NBEN_LNC014099)". The record is from RNAcentral. Lineage: Eukaryota; Viridiplantae; Streptophyta; Magnoliopsida; Solanales; Solanaceae.
CUUUGGGUCAUAAGUUCAAACUCGGUCUUAAGGACCACACAUAUAUAUAGAUUGCUGAAGUUAGUGGGACAUGUGGCCCAAUCAGCCCCAAACAGGCUUAGUUUUGCACGCAUAAUUGAAGUCCUGGACACAAGGAAUAUUGCUAACAGGUAUCAGGUAUCCAAACAAUUCAUCAGAUUUAUCAGAACCUUAAUAGAAAUAAAAAUAGGCUCACAUUUGUUAAACUAUUACAAACUCAGACGAACUCAUUUGAGUCGGCUACGAACACACAUAAAUUGUAUGAACAUGAAGACUACAUUAAUGACUAAUUACACUAUCACCACACCAAUGUCCUAAAACUAACAAGCAAUUUUUUUUCAUCAUAGUUACACGACAACCUGCAACUCAUGGACACUUUAGAGUUCAUGCCAGACCUAAACACGAGAUUGGGAAGCCAUUUACUACAUUACUAUUACAUCACAAAGGUCAACUGCAGGAAUAACUAAAACAAAAGGGAUUCCUAAUUAAACAUCCUAUUAAUGGGGUGCACAGCUAUACAUUAAACAAAAUUUAUCAGCUAAAUGAGACAAGGGAAGGAUAUUUAAUAACUAAACACAUGCAUACCAAAAUCACAGCUUCAUACUACAUUCGUAUGAGAUCCAUUGGGCCAAAAUAUACCUGGAAAAUGGAAAGAAAGUGAGGAUGAGAGUUCAGCAAGCAUGCAUCAGAGUAAUAGUAAUUUAACCACUCAAAAUAAUCCCAUAUCCCAGGCAAUUAGAGAUAGAUGACAAGAUAAUUUUCAACUUGAAGAAAUGAAGUAAAAGGAACCAAGAAUUGGCUUCAAACCAUCAUGUAUCCAAACUCAAAUCAAAGAAUGCCAAAUAGCACGAAAUUUUUUAGAAUGAGAAGCUCUUUUUAUAAGGUUAAAGAUUGAUCCAAUAUAACCGUAAAAUUUCAAUAGUAUGCAUAUAUUAUCUAAAGGUUUUUCCGGCCCCCUUUUUAGUGAUUUUCAAUCCCUUUUUAUUGCCAAAAGCUAGGGCAACACUAUUAUUGUGUUUUAACCGAAGGUCCUCCCCUUAAUUUUCAAAUUUCACCUAUUUGGACCCUCAUUUUUUGCCUUGUUGCCCAUUUUAUUGCAACAAAUAUAUUGAUUUUGUAUUAAAGACCCCUUCUAGAAGGGUCUAAAGACUUCUACCAUCAUCUAUCCUUCAUAGACUACCUAUAUUACCCUUAUUUUGUUCCUAAUAUUACCAAAGCUAAGUUCAAAAUUCUAUAUUACCCUUAUUUAUAAAUUAUCAGAAAUAGGUAGGAAAACCAUAUACUACCCUUAAGUUACUUAUUUGGUAUCAAAACUAAUAGGGUGUUUGGCUAAGCUUAUAAGCUGGUCAAACAGGCUUAUAAGCACUUUUUGACUUAUUUAUGCGUUUGGUAAAGUUAAAAGUGCUUAUAAGUUAAGUGCUUAUAAGCCAAAAAUAAGCCAAAAGUCAUAAGUUGGUCUCUCCCAACUUAUCAAAUUCCAGCUUAUUAGCACUUACGGUUUGACCAAAAUAUUUACUAUUAUAUCCUUAAAAUAAUUCAUAAGUUGGUCUCCCCCAACUUAUCCAAUUUUAGCUUAUAAGCACUUUAUGUUUGACUAAAAUAUUUACUAUUUUUUCCCUAAAGGACUUCUUUUUAAAUAAAACUCUUCGUAUACCCAAUUUUCAGUUGCUUAUUAUUAAUUUCAAUACUUUUAUCCAAACACGUAACUGCUUAUUUUUUAAAUCAGCUUCAGCACUUAAAAAUUCUUUACAGCACCUAAUGCUUAUCAUCUAAGCCAAACGAGCUCUAACUCCUAAAAUUAACUCUUCUAAUCUUAACAGCUAUAACCAAUUCAAUUGAUACUAAUCAAGGGAAAAUGCUAAUCAGCUCUCAGGAAUCAAGGUAAAAUUAAGUCUAAUACCCAGCUUGAGAAGAAAAAUAAUGGGAGGCUACCACUACCAAAGUUUCAACUCAGAAACCACUACCUCAAAUGAUUAAUUGAUCUUCAUACUCAGAAAAUAAGGAAAUUAUUCAAACUAAGAAUAAAUAGAGGAGUUGUUAUGCUAAACCAAUCAAACAAUCAAGACCAUUUCCUAUGUAAACUCAAACCAUACAAAGACUAAAUAAAACAUGACAAACUUAAAAUUUAAACUUGAAACGGGUAUGGCAAACAAAACAGGCACGGCUAAUUUGGCUAACAAACGGACAUGCUCAGGAUUAGAAAAGGAAAAACAUACCUAUGAGCCCUAAAAAAAUCUAAUAACAUGUUUUUCAAUCUAAAGGAAAUAAAUCUAGACUAAAAAAUAGAAGCACAGAUCAAUAUGAACUUACUGAUUCUUCCAUUAACCUUGUUGAAACAAAUUUGAAUCAAUACUUAAAGGUCUCUGAAAUUUAGGAUUAAAUAUAGCCAUGGCUGCUGUCGACAUUAGAGGGAUCUGGGGUUGUUUUAGAGGGCAUGGGGGUGUAUAUUGGAUGAGGGAGACCAAGCAAUCCUAGGGUGUGGCUCUACAAUGAUUUGGUGGUGUUUUGAUGGUGUUAGAUGGCAUUGGAUGGUGUUGGAUGGCAUUGGAUGGAAAUCACCGCCGUGCAUGGCGGUGCUGCCAUCUUCUGGCGUAUAUUUGAGGCGUUGUGAAUAUAUUCGAGUGUAAAUACAGGUAAGGCUGGGGUGAGGGUGAGUGUAAAUACAGGGAAAUUAUUGGUGCUAAUUUGGGAGAUGUUUGCUACCGGCCGCCGCCGUAGACGGUGGAGCCGCCGUGCUUUGAUUGGAUAUUAGAGCUCAUCGGCAGUGAUUCGAAGGAUGAUUUUCAUGGGAAUGGGAAGAGGAGAACGGGACGCUUCUAUGGUGUAAUUUUGGGAAGCAUUGGGGUUACGCUGCCACCGGCGGUGAUUUCAAACCGAUAACAGACAGUGGGCUUAUGGUGGCUCAUGGGCGGUGUUUCACCGGUGAGGGAAUGUACGAGGAUGAUGCCGCCGCCGGCGGACGGUGGAUUUAAGGUGGAUCAUGGGCGGUGUUACACCGGUGAGGGUUUGUACGAGGAUGAAGGAGUUUGGUCUCUGAGUAUAUUACACGCGUUUGGACAUUUAUAUUUGGUUUUGGGAUGGGGGGGUUUUAGGACCGUUGGAUGAGUUGUGAUCAAGGGCUGGGAUGAAGGGUAGACAAACGACAUCGUUUGGCACCCCUGGGGCUGGACUAGGUUGGGGACAAACGGACUGAGUGUUUUGGUCCUAAGUUUCAACUUCUUGUGGCCCAGCUUGGAUACAUUGGACUUAUGUUUCAGCCUUCUUUAAAUCAUUUCUUUAUUUUAACAAACCUAAUUAUUCCAUAAGACUUAAUUAAGCAAUCAAAUAAAAGAUUAACAAAAUACUUAAAAUCAAACUUAUAUACACAUUAAGCCAAUUUUUUGAAUUUCAUUUUCCGAUUAUCAAUUAAUUUCUAAAAAUAUAAAAUUACUUCUAAAUGCACAUGCCUCAUGUAUCCUGUAUUUUGUUGUUCAGAAAUGCAUAGAAAUGGAAGCAACUAACAGCAUAAUGCCACGAGAAAUCAAAUCUGCAAGUAAACAAUGAAAUUAUUUUAUUUUGAAUUUGUGGGAGUAGUUCGUAUAGGGUAAAAGUCACAUGCUCACACCCAGAAAUAAAUUAAAUGGUCAAAUCUAUAUAUUGGUCCAUUUAACUCAAACUUACAAAAAUCAUUCCAUAACAGACUAAUUCAGCUAAAUUGUUUCAAUUAUUAUAUCGAUUUUUGCUAAGUACCAAUUGCCUAUCGCUAAUAUAAGGUGGAAAUAUAACGGCUGUAUAACAUUCGAAAAAGCUUCUUAGGUGAUGAAAUAUUGCAUUACAUAUGUAUAUCACUUCAAGACUUCACAAAAAAAUGUUUGAUUGAUAACUUUAUUCACAUCUUCCCCUUCCAAUAGCAUGCGAAGCCCAACAAACAAACAAAGAUGGAUUCAAAAACAUGGUAAAGAUAUAAGUCUACCAAAACUAAAAGGAAACUUUACCAAAAAUGCAACUCAAAAGUCAUAAAAUACUACAGCUCUCAUGAAGAUGUAAUAUAGGAGAAGUUUUCAAAGUUAUGAGCCCCAAAUUUCUACAUCAUUUUUGAACUAAAACCUCUUUCCAUUUCAAGCCAAUCAGUGAGCAAAUAGCCAGUGUUUAGCAGAAUUCCAGAUUUUUGCAACCGUGACUUUUUAUGUGAAAACAAAACAGAAAUCAAAUAGACUUUUAAAUAUCAAGGAGAAUAGCACUACCCAAACAUAGGCUACUCAGCCAGAUAUUCUCCAUGAAGCAAGUUUGAGAGGGAUUCAUCAAUUUUUGUAAGAGGGUGCUAAAACCUUACAACACAAAUUUUAAUCAAACUUCCAUCUAGUCAAAAGAGGCAAGAAAAAGAGCUUACUACUACCAUUUUUAACAUUGGAAUUUAAUACAAAUUCAGCCCUUAAACAUAAGCUACUCAAAUAUGUGCUAUUACAUAUUCUUACAUUUAAGAAGAAAAGAAAAGGGAAGAGAAGAAAGAAGCUAAAUAGACUAAAUAAGGAUGUAAAAAAAAUCCGACUUUAAACAUUAGGCAACCUUUAUUGAUCUUCAACAAAGAAGAAACAUCAUGUUCCACAUAAAACACACUCAAACUGCAAGGGUAAAACAACAAAAACAGGAUUCCAAAAAAAAAUUAAAAUGAAGUAACAACAGUGAAUAACCAACUUUAAACAGUUGAACUCAUCAUUUAAACCCAGGAAGAGAGUGAUGCAUUCAACUUUCAGGAAAGCAAAUAAAAAUAGGAAGAUCAAGAUGCAAUCGAACAGUGACUACCAGCUUUACCUCUUUUCUUUCUAGUUUUUAGAUUAUACUAAUGCAGCUCUAUUCGUUAGCUGCUUAUGAAAUUUAAAACCUUUAUUUCCAAAAGAAAAUUUUCAGAAUAGAAAGGAGGAAUCAAAAAUUUUCUUCAGAAAAAAUUUUCAAAAGCUUUUGUAUUUCAGCCACUUACCAUCUCCAUGCCCUUUUGUGUGAAUGAGUGCUUUCUAUAUAUAGGAUAUUCAAAAUGAUAUCCAAAAGAGAAUAUACUACUCUAAAUUCUGAAUUUCCCUGAUAGUACAGUCCUUUGUUACAUUUGUCCGUCCUUUUCUCCCUAAUAUCAAAAUUUUCAUCACAAGGAUAAGGACAAGUGUACAAAGUCCAGAACAUUCUAAUAUUUACCUCAUGUAAAAUCCCAUUUUUAACCUUCCAAACACUGAUUAUUGCAAUUUUACCUAUCAUAUCCUAAACUCUGAUGGUUUGAUUACUUAAAAGCCCCUCUCUAAACGCUUUCUAGAACCAACCAAGCCAAAAUAUCCUUAGACUCCCUGAAAUAAAUCUCACUCAACCCCUUAAAGUUUAUGAAAUUAUUCUUUCGAACCCUCUAAACAAAUGGAAAUCAAAACUCCCAUUUCACACAACUGGAGACAAAUUACAGACGGACCAGACAAAACAAAUUGAAAGGAAAAUAGAGAUCAAACAUUAACUAAUCUAUCAAGCGAAAUAAGAACAUAUUUAAUGACGACUAAAACUAAAUCCACAAUUAAUUGACCAAAAGCCCAAAACUCUAAUCUAAUUACAGGAUUAAUCAGAGAAAGGGAACAACUAUUCGGACCAUCGGCAAGUAAGGAAUCGUCAUAGAGAACAACUAAAAAAUAGAUAAGGGGUAUACCAAUUAGACUUCAGAACAUAUGAGAAUGAUGACGAUCCCAAUUCGAACUCCGGGGGGUAAAAUCAUAGCCAACUGGUGAGAAUUGGAAUACGAAUACUGGCCGAACUCUCGCCCAUAGCUAGUUCUUCAUGCCAAAUUCGUCAACGUGUGUCGAAAAGAAACAAAGUAGAGGCUUGAAAAAAUUAAAGCGGCUUGAAAGCUAAAUUCCCAAAAUUUUAGCAAAUCCAUGAGAGAGGGCUUUUGAUCUUCAGGCGAAGCUGUUUUGUUGAAGAAACUGGGAAUUCACAUGGUAUUUACUAUCGAUUGAAUUUUUAAACCGAAAAAUUUGGGAAGAGGAGAAAGUUUGGGUUUUUAAUUUUUGGAUCUAUAAUCUUGAAAGAUUGGGUGAUCUUCUAGGGAAAUCAAUGGUUGGACAAAGACGACGAGAGGGUGGAGGUUGUAUGGUUAUGAUUUGGAGGCGUUUAGAGGUGCUCCGCUGCGAUGAGGCGAUUUUCGGGCGGCGGAGCUGUGGCGGAGACGGGUGGCACUUUUUAGAGAGGAGAAGACCUAGGGUUUUUUUCGGAUUAAUGAAGAUAACAGGGGAUUUGGGCCGUUUAAUGAGUUGGAGUGGAU